This 365-nucleotide ribosomal RNA is filed under the name Escherichia coli. Its description in RNAcentral is "partial 23S ribosomal RNA". It matches the Rfam family "Bacterial large subunit ribosomal RNA", at positions 1 to 409 of the family's 2925-position model. Lineage: Bacteria; Pseudomonadati; Pseudomonadota; Gammaproteobacteria; Enterobacterales; Enterobacteriaceae. RNAcentral also lists the same sequence under 1 other name. The record is from RNAcentral.
GGUUAAGCGACUAAGCGUACACGGUGGAUGCCCUGGCAGUCAGAGGCGAUGAAGGACGUGCUAAUCUGCGAUAAGCGUCGGUAAGGUGAUAUGAACCGUUAUAACCGGCGAUUUCCGAAUGGGGAAACCCAGUGUGAUUCGUCACACUAUCAUUAACUGAAUCCAUAGGUUAAUGAGGCGAACCGGGGGAACUGAAACAUCUAAGUACCCCGAGGAAAAGAAAUCAACCGAGAUUCCCCCAGUAGCGGCGAGCGAACGGGGAGCAGCCCAGAGCCUGAAUCAGUGUGUGUGUUAGUGGAAGCGUCUGGAAAGGCGUGCGAUACAGGGUGACAGCCCCGUACACAAAAAUGCACAUACUGUGAGCU